AAAUUGGGCACGCGUAGAGCUUACCUGGUCUUGACAUCCACGGAAGUUUUCAGAGAUGAGAAGGUGCCUUCGGGAACCGUGAGACAGGUGCUGCAUGGCUGUCGUCAGCUCGUGUUGUGAAAUGUUGGGUUAAGUCCCGCAACGAGCGCAACCCUUAUCCUUUGUUGCCAGCGGUCCGGCCGGGAACUCAAAGGAGACUGCCAGUGAUAAACUGGAGGAAGGUGGGGAUGACGUCAAGUCAUCAUGGCCCUUACGACCAGGGCUACACACGUGCUACAAUGGCGCAUACAAAGAGAAGCGACCUCGCGAGAGCAAGCGGACCUCAUAAAGUGCGUCGUAGUCCGGAUUGGAGUCUGCAACUCGACUCCAUGAAGUCGGAAUCGCUAGUAAUCGUGGAUCAGAAUGCCACGGUGAAUACUUUUCCCCGGGCA
This 431-nucleotide ribosomal RNA is filed under the name uncultured soil bacterium. RNAcentral describes it as "bacterial SSU rRNA". It matches the Rfam family "Bacterial small subunit ribosomal RNA", at positions 948 to 1375 of the family's 1533-position model. The record is from RNAcentral.